AUUGAACGCUGGCGGCAUGCCUAACACAUGCAAGUCGAACGAGUGGCGGACGGGUGAGUAAUGUCUGGGAAACUGCCUGCUGGAGGGGGAUAACUACUGGAAACGGUAGCUAAUACCGCAUACCAUCAGAUGUGCCCAGAUGGGAUUAGCUAGUAGGUGGGGUAACGGCUCACCAAGGCGACGAUCCCUAGCUGGUCUGAGAGGAUGAAAGGCCACACUGGAACGGAGACACGGGCCAGACUCCUACGGGAGGCAGCAGUGGGGAAUAUUGGACAAUGGGCGCAAGCCUGAUACAGCCAUGCCGCGUGUAUGAAGAAGGCCUUCGGGUUGUAAAGUACUUUCAGCGGGGAGGCGGUACCCGGAGAAGAAGCACCGGCUAACUCCGUGCCAGCCGCCGCGGUAAUAC
RNAcentral lists this ribosomal RNA (406 nucleotides) under uncultured bacterium. RNAcentral describes it as "partial 16S ribosomal RNA". It matches the Rfam family "Bacterial small subunit ribosomal RNA", at positions 30 to 526 of the family's 1533-position model. The record is from RNAcentral.